AGGAGCUUUUGUGCCUACCAGAACUCUCAGUGUUUGGUUUUGGCACAUUUCAUUGGUUGUCAUAAAAGGCUACAUAUCCACAUGUCGAAAUAGCCAGAGAAUGGAGUAUUAAUUGUAUUAAAGGAUGGUUCCUUGUGCAGACACUCGCCCAAUAUUUGCCUCUGUGAAACAGGUCAUACAGGUUUUUAAAUCUUGUUUCAAAAGUCUAUCUGAGCAGAGGUAACAGUGGAAGGAAAGAAACAUGUGUUUUUGCUCCAGUGGGAAGGGCUGGCCUUGACACACCACUUUUAACUCUCUUUAAAAGUUAUUUUAUUUUUAUUUUGUAAAAUUUAUAUGCCGAUUGUAAAAUACACUCAAAGUGGUUUACAAAAAGAAAGUACUGAAAAUCUCCAAGCCUGAGUUACUGCAUAGACAGAAGCCCCGUCCUAUCGAGCCUCUGUAGCCCAAAACAUGACAACAUCUAGGUGAGCAUCCUGUUCUCACAGUGGCCAACCAGAUGCCCAUGGGAAGGCCCCCACAAGCAAGACUUGAGUGGAACAGUGCUCUCCCCACUGGAGAUUCCCAGGAACUGGGACAGUCUCCAACAGGGGAAUGGAAACAUAACCAUUGUGGCUAAAUGCCUCAACUUAGCUGGAUUAAGUAGUCUAGGACUGUAGUUUGAGAAAAGCAUUAUCUAUGGGCUCAGAGGCAUGCUGCCUGCAGCACUGCAAAGAAAACCAAAUACCCAUGUGUGGCAUAAAAAAACCCUAAUAUCUGGGACCUCUCUUUUGUGGCCAGACAAAUGCUGCUGCUGAUUUUUAUUCCUUGGGCUGGAGAGAUCAAAAAGCAUUGUCACACUAUGCCCACUUUUUAAAGCAGUGAGGUCCAGAUUGUAUCUGUUGGGAGACAAAGUACUGGAAACUUGGGGUGCUUUUUAUUUGUAAUAUUUUGAUUUUUAAAAAGCUUUUUUUAAAAAACAAAAAUAGAGUUUAAGUGGAGGCAAGGAGGAGAGGAGCAGCUCCAGUCAGGCAACACACCUGCUACCUUGCACCAGAUCACCAGUGAAUGGCAAGUCCAGACUGAGGGAGACUGAGAUGGCAACAGGUUAGGAGGCAGUGGCAAAAGAGCAUCCUCCCUUGGUGACCACAUGAUGUGGAAGAGAGACAAGAGAGAGGCAGCUGCAGCACGUGCUCAGUCAACUCCUUAUGUUCUGGCCAGACCCUGCUUAUUAGAAUAAGUGGGUGGCCAUAGAAAGACUCUCUGGUGUUCCAGACAGGGUGUCUCUCCUAGCCCUACCUGAAGAUGCCAGGGAUUGAACCUGGAACCUUCUGCUUGCAAAGGAGACACCCUACCACUGAGAUGCAGCCUUUCACUAUACUGGUGCUAGAAAAAUGCUAAAAAACACACACAGUGACACCGACUUAUUGUUCUUUGGGAUCUGGCGAUUUGUUCCUAGGAAAUAUAGCAAACAGGACAUCAAAAAAUAUUAAAACAACAAGAAGCACGAUUAAUAUUUUUAUUUAAAACAUUCCAGCCAGUAUGAUUAAAUUCCAAAUUUGAUCUUUCAGUUUUCAUUUAAUUACAGCAAUGGGCAUUGAAAUGUGUAUCUGGAUGCAGAAUGUAUGAGAUAACGCUGGCACCCUGUCUUCUUUAUUACUUCAUACACUGCUUCAUCAGCACCUCACAGCUACCGGGAACAACGCUGAACUUACCCUUUUCUUGAAUCUUCUUGAACUUAUUUAAAAAAACAAGAAAAAACAAAAAACUGAGUCAAUAAUUUGUAAGAACCUAGUAAAAUCUGAUACUGCAAGUUCACUUUAUUUUAGGUAGUUUGUAAGUUUUCAUGGCACUUUGUAAGUAAUUGUCUCUUUCUCACAUAUUUGAUAAAUGGUGUAAAAUUA
Molecule: non-coding RNA, 1880 nt
Organism: Podarcis muralis (Common wall lizard)
Lineage: Eukaryota; Metazoa; Chordata; Lepidosauria; Squamata; Lacertidae
Source: RefSeq, a predicted model, not a curated record